CAUCUGGUGUUUCUAAACACCACCCAUCCCUCUAAGAAAGAGCUCU
Molecule: non-coding RNA, 46 nt
Organism: Saprolegnia diclina VS20
Lineage: Eukaryota; Oomycota; Saprolegniomycetes; Saprolegniales; Saprolegniaceae
Source: Rfam